RNAcentral lists this ribosomal RNA (253 nucleotides) under uncultured bacterium. RNAcentral describes it as "partial 16S ribosomal RNA". It matches the Rfam family "Bacterial small subunit ribosomal RNA", at positions 524 to 776 of the family's 1533-position model. The record is from RNAcentral.
GACAGAGGCCUCGAGCGUUAGGCGGAAUCACUGGGCUUAAAGCGUGUGUAGGCGGGCCCCUAAGUCCCUUGUGAAAUCCCACGGCUCACCCGUGGAACCGCUGGGUAUACUGGGGGCCUUGGGCCAUUCAGGGGCGACUGGAACAAGCGGUGGAGCGGUGAAAUGCGUAGAUAUCGCUUGGAACGCCGACGGUGAAAACAGGUCGCUGGGAAUGUGCCGACGCUGAGACACGAAAGCCAGGGGAGCAAACGGG